AUUGAACGCUGGCGGCAUGCCUUACACAUGCAAGUCGAACGGUAACAGGUCUUCGGAUGCUGACGAGUGGCGAACGGGUGAGUAAUACAUCGGAACGUGCCCAGACGUGGGGGAUAACGAGGCGAAAGCUUUGCUAAUACCGCAUACGAUCUAAGGAUGAAAGCAGGGGACCGCAAGGCCUUGUGCGGUUGGAGCGGCAGAUGGCAGAUUAGGUAGUUGGUGGGAUAAAAGCUUACCAAGCCGACGAUCUGUAGCUGGUCUGAGAGGACGACCAGCCACACUGGGACUGAGACACGGCCCAGACUCCUACGGGAGGCAGCAGUGGGGAAUUUUGGACAAUGGGCGAAAGCCUGAUCCAGCAAUGCCGCGUGCAGGAUGAAGGCCUUCGGGUUGUAAACUGCUUUUGUACGGAACGAAAAGGCUCUGGCUAAUACCUGGGGCACAUGACGGUACCGUAAGAAUAAGCACCGGCUAACUACGUG
This 482-nucleotide ribosomal RNA is filed under the name uncultured bacterium. RNAcentral's name for it is "partial 16S ribosomal RNA". It matches the Rfam family "Bacterial small subunit ribosomal RNA", at positions 30 to 507 of the family's 1533-position model. The record is from RNAcentral.